UUGCUCCCGGAUGUUAGCGGCGGACGGSUGAKUAACACGUGGGUAACCUGCCUGUAAGACUGGGAUAACYCCSGGAAACCGGAGCUAAUACCGGAUAGUUCCUUGAACCGCAUGGUUCAAGGAUGAAAGACGGUUUCGGCUGUCACUUACAGAUGGACCCGCGGCGCAUUAGCUAGUUGGUGGGGUAAUGGCUCACCAAGGCGACGAUGCGUAGCCGACCUGAGAGGGUGAUCGGCCACACUGGGACUGAGACACGGCCCAGACUCCUACGGGAGGCAGCAGUAGGGAAUCUUCCGCAAUGGACGAAAGUCUGACGGAGCAACGCCGCGUGAGUGAUGAAGGUUUUCGGAUCGUAAAGCU
RNAcentral lists this ribosomal RNA (360 nucleotides) under Bacillus sp. MBA2.4. RNAcentral's name for it is "bacterial SSU rRNA". It matches the Rfam family "Bacterial small subunit ribosomal RNA", at positions 79 to 432 of the family's 1533-position model. Lineage: Bacteria; Bacillati; Bacillota; Bacilli; Caryophanales; Bacillaceae. The record is from RNAcentral.